RNAcentral lists this long non-coding RNA (1055 nucleotides) under Zostera marina. RNAcentral describes it as "long non-coding RNA (ZMAR_LNC004633)". Lineage: Eukaryota; Viridiplantae; Streptophyta; Magnoliopsida; Alismatales; Zosteraceae. The record is from RNAcentral.
GCUUUAUUGAAAUCACAGCUUAAAAUAUUCGUCAAGUUGGAGUCUAAUAUGAACAUACACGUCAUGACAGUAUGAGUAAUCUGGACUGAAAAAAUAAGAAAGUGUAUAAAGACAGACACACAAGUCCGCAAAAGAUAGAGAAAAGGAUAAAGCAAAAUAUAUCAAAGACAUUCACGCCGAACUGGUACAAUGUCAAAAGGAUGCGUCAAGAGCAAAGACUAAUGGAAGUAUGGGUUAGAAGGGUCCAGUCAGCAACAACCUGAUAUUAGUUUUUAUUAUACGGUACCAUUGUUUUGUAAUUUAAAAAUCAGUAGAAACUUGUUUUAAGAGGAGUUGAAAUAUUUAGAUUAAUGGUGGGUUAAAAUUCAACUAAAGAUAAAAUUCAAAUUCACCAACAAGUAUAGAAGUUAAAAAAAUUGUCAAUGGAAUGACUUAAAAUGUCAUAUCCAUAAGAAGCUCUACCUCUUAAGAGAUGAACUUUCUUUGAAAGUAAAAAUGACAUAAUUAAUCACUUGCAAUGUAGUAGACCGAAAGGUGAUUUCAGGAUUUUCCCUAGUAAAAGAAAAAGAUGUCAGAAGCACACCAGAGUUUUUUCACCUUCCAUUGUCCAAAGUCUAUUACGCGAAAACGAUAAGACAUAGAUCGUUCUAGAAAACAUCGAGUUAGACCCCAAAGGGGAACGAUCACCCCUUUUUUUUUUUUUUUUUUUUUUUCUUUUUUUUUGCUUUCAAAUUUAUAUAUUAGUAGGUGGUUUGAAACCCAAAUCAAAUCCAGAAUCGAGAAUGGUGAAGGAAUUAGAGUUGAAGGAGAUACCAGGGGAAUACGGUAACUGGAUCACGGCUAUCCAGGAUAGAAUUCAGUUCUACAAGGAUAACGAUGCCUUCUUCCAGACCAAAAAAGAUCAACACAACUCCACAGUUUAUCGUUCCAACAUGCCGCCAGGUCCGUUCAUGGCCAAGGACCCAAAGUGCAUCGUGCUUCUCGACGCCAACAGCUUUCCCGUUCUAUUCGACGUGUCAAAAGUGGAGAAGAAAGAUGUCUUGACCGGUACUUAC